Lepidothrix coronata (blue-crowned manakin) is the source of this 802-nucleotide long non-coding RNA. RefSeq lists it as uncharacterized. Lineage: Eukaryota; Metazoa; Chordata; Aves; Passeriformes; Pipridae. The record is from RefSeq and is a predicted model, not a curated record. The transcript has 3 exons.
UAUUUUCUGCAUAAUUAUGUUAUACUGUAUAGCAUUUCCUUGAAAGCUUUUAAGAAAGUAAGCAUGACUAUGGUCUAGGACACUAUUAUUAACGUCCAAAUAAACCACUCUUCUGAACAGAAUUGUACAGUUAAUGAGGAGCUUAGUUGAAAUAUAAGAACUUAUUCUUUUAGUGUAUUUGCUGCAAUUUAUAGUUAAAUGCAUGGUUGAAAGAAGUACUGAUCUUCACAUUUGUCUCAUGUUAGGUAAAUGUUUUAAUUCUCUCUAGUUGUAAUUGUUGAAAUACUUUUACUUCUGAAUUUUUGUAGCCUUUUGAAACAGUAAUUUGAUAUGUAGCCUUGUGAGUGUGCAGUUGUUUUAGUAUGUGGUUUGACAUGUAGUUUUGCAUCAGAGAUCUGGAGUUGUAUUAUAGCUAAAAAUGAUCUUUGUGUGAUAUUUGUGAUGUUUGCAUCUAGUGUGUUGGAUUAUAGUUUUGCAGAAAGACUUCCAUUAUGCUUUGUAACCGCCUACCAAAAUAAAAAGGCAGUGAGAUAGGCCCUGAUUCUGCUAAGAGGUGGAAGUCUUUAAGGGGAAACGAAAUAUAAGUUAUAGAGAGAUCUUUUUCACUGCACAGAACACACUCUCUAAAGGAUAUGGAGAAUAUUUUUCAACUGGUGCGCAACGUUAUCCCUCCUCUAACAGGGAAAAAGCAUAAAGGUCAAGAUGGUCGUAUAGGCAUUGUUGGAGGAUGUCGAGAGUACACUGGAGCACCGUAUUUUGCUGCAAUUACAGCUCUCAAAGUGGUAUGUGUUCUUCUAUACCA